RNAcentral lists this ribosomal RNA (454 nucleotides) under uncultured eukaryote. RNAcentral describes it as "partial Bacterial small subunit ribosomal RNA". It matches the Rfam family "Bacterial small subunit ribosomal RNA", at positions 367 to 796 of the family's 1533-position model. The record is from RNAcentral.
CACAAUGGGCGAAAGCCUGAUGCAGCAACGCCGCGUGAGGGACGACGGCCUUCGGGUUGUAAACCUCUUUCAGUAGGGAAGAAGCGAAAGUGACGGUACCUGCAGAAGAAGCACCGGCUAACUACGUGCCAGCAGCCGCGGUAAUACGUAGGGUGCAAGCGUUAAUCGGAAUUACUGGGCGUAAAGCGAGUGUAGGUGGCUCAUUAAGUCACAUGUGAAAUCCCCGGGCUUAACCUGGGAACUGCAUGUGAUACUGGUGGUGCUAGAAUAUGUGAGAGGGAAGUAGAAUUCCAGGUGUAGCGGUGAAAUGCGUAGAGAUCUGGAGGAAUACCGAUGGCGAAGGCAGCUUCCUGGCAUAAUAUUGACACUGAGAUUCGAAAGCGUGGGUAGCAGAGCGUUAUCCGGAAUUAUUGGGCGUAAAGAGCUCGAACAGGAUUAGAUACCCUGGUAGUCC